GACGAACGCUGGCGGCGUGCUUAACACAUGCAAGUCGAACGGAAAGGCCCUGCUUUUGUGGGGUGCUCGAGUGGCGAACGGGUGAGUAACACGUGAGUAACCUGCCCUUGACUUUGGGAUAACUUCAGGAAACUGGGGCUAAUACCGGAUAGGAGCUCCUGCUGCAUGGUGGGGGUUGGAAAGUUUCGGCGGUUGGGGAUGGACUCGCGGCUUAUCAGCUUGUUGGUGAGGUAGUGGCUUACCAAGGCUUUGACGGGUAGCCGGCCUGAGAGGGGGGCCGGCCACAUGGGGACUACGAGACGGCCCAGACGGCUACGGGAGGCAACAGGGGAGAAUAUUGCGGAGUGGCGGGAAGCCAGUGGCAGCGGCGCCGGGUGCGGGAUGACCGGCUAUUGGUGAUGAACAGCUGUGGAAUGUGAUGAGGACGGCGUGACGGUAAUGGAUAAGAAAGCCACGGCUAACUACGUG
RNAcentral lists this ribosomal RNA (468 nucleotides) under uncultured bacterium. RNAcentral describes it as "partial 16S ribosomal RNA". It matches the Rfam family "Bacterial small subunit ribosomal RNA", at positions 28 to 507 of the family's 1533-position model. The record is from RNAcentral.